UUGCCCUUCUUCUUCGUUAUCCACUGAGGCGCGCGCGCGCGCGCGUGCACACAAAAACACACACACGUAACGUGCGCGUAGACCUUGUCGUUCGCUACGGAAUAGACGGAAAUAAGAAACGUAUCGAAUGAGUAUAUGCAAGAGAGGGAGAUAACCCGCACCUGCGCGUCACUGCGUGUCGUCUUCUCGUCUCUAUUGGAUUACUCUUCUAGUGCGCAAGUGUGUUUGUGUGUCCAUCAUUGUAUCUGUCUCUCUAUAAUAGUUGUCAACGUGUGUGUGUGUGUGUGUUCUAACUCCCCACUAUUUUGUUCGCUUUAUCCCCACCAUGGAAUGGUCCGACGAGCACCACUAACUGCCCCUUACCUGGUAUAUACCAACCCUUCUUCCCACCCUCAACACUCCUCAAAGCCCCUUCCUUCUUCUCUCUUAACGCUUUUGACGUUCCUACUAAUACUAUCACGCUAAAAUACGUGACUUUAGUCCGACCAUUUGCAUAGUUUGAGCCACCCACUACUACUUUACUACCAUUGGCCACCGAGUCGAUUAUCGUCGAGAACCCUUCCAGAGUAUACCAUGAGUACUAGAGGACUAGUGUGUCUGUCUGUCUGUGUGUUGUAUGUAUGCUGUGUGAAGAGCUUACACGCGGCUUGUUCGCAUAAUGGCCGACCCGAGUGACCACCACCACCACCACCAAACGCGAUACUUCGUCAGGAUUAUGUAAUUUGAAAGAGAGAGGGAGAGAAUGGGUUAGACAGCAGACAGAAAUAAAGAGAUAUGGACGAUGAGGAUGAUCAUAAACGAUGAUGAAGUCUCGGAACGUUAGUUGUGUGUGAGUGUGUAUAUUUCUGUCUGUCUUUUUUUCUGUGUAAAAAGCAGGAAACGAAAUGCUUUUUCCGCGUUUAAACGAUCGCAUAUAUAUAUAUAGGUGUUCCUUUUUUGUAGGAUGUUAUUUUUGGCGAGAGAGAGAGAAAGAGAGAGAGAGAGAGAUGUAUAUCGAUGAGUAAAUAAUUCAUUUCUCUGACGUUCAAGAUCAAAGAUAAUGGAUUUUUGUUUAUAAAUGUAUUUACCGUAUGUUCCUAUAUGAACGUCUAUAUAAGAAUUUGUUAUCAAUUAUAAAAUGUACAUUAUUUAAUCUUGGAAAUUAAAUUGAAGAAAAUUGUGUCUAAUGUUGAUAUCAUCGAUAUUAUAAAAUCAAAUAUUCUGUAAAGUACAUACACGCACACAUACUUUCUUUCUCUCUAGGUUAAAGAUAUCCGAAUUUGGCUUGGUGACAACUGUGUCGUGUGCAGUUGCUAAAAAAAGAGAAAGUUAAAGAAAACAAAAGCCUUGAAAACAGAUCGAUCAGCCAACAAAUUUUCUACUCCUGUGGGAAUAUAAUUGUGUAAUAAGAAAUACAAGAAAGAAAAAAGGAUGAAAAAGAAAGAGAGAGAGAGAGAGAGAGAGAGAGAAAGAAGAAAAACGAGGGUGAGAAGAAGCGCAACACGUGGCCCUCGGCGUGGCCUCGUUGAUGUUUCUGACGUCGUACUCGUUGUUGGUGUAGUAUAAAAGCGUGUUUAAAAGCGUAUUUAAAGGCGUGUAGUUGAUGUUCUAUGGAAACGCCAGCCAGGCUACGUUAAAAGGUCUUUAACUACUGCACACAUACACACAGAAACACGUGCAAAUAUGCACCUGCAUUUCAAUGUCACGGUUUUCUACUUGAGCUCGUAUAAACGACAAAAAUUCAGAUUCAGUUAAUUAGUGCGAAUGCAUUUUCUAAAAUAAUUAAACCUAUUGGCCUAACGAAAAGCUUAAAAUAUGUUUAAUUAUAAAACAAAGAAAUUUUAAGAAUUAGUCAAAUAUAUGAAUGUUUCCAUUAAAAAAUUGCAAUCAUUUGUGUUAUCUCUAUAUAUAUUUUUUGUAUGUGAACAGGUGUACCAAACGUGUAAAGUGUCUUACUUAAUGAAAUAUGCCAUUCUUUCAGAUAAUAUAAUGUCACACACUAUCGUAAGAUAUAGGAAUUAGUUGAAAAUCAUUCAUUUUCAUCGAUUUUGAAAUGAACGGAAUACAAAUUAGUUUAUCUUUUUAUUUUAUCGACUUUAUUCGUAUGGGUGCCUUUAUGGUGAUAUGCGUGAGCAAUGACGUCAGUGGAUUCCAAUUCCACUUCCAUCCCUAUAUCCUCCUCAUCCUCAUAUUUCCACCCAUCUCCCCAGUUCCUAGAACUUCGAUCGUUAGUAGAUAAAUAGUUGAAUAUUCCACGUACGAGUCACAGCAAAGAUUUCUACGCAA
This 2265-nucleotide long non-coding RNA is filed under the name Polistes dominula (European paper wasp). Its description in RNAcentral is "uncharacterized LOC107065624". The record is from RNAcentral. Lineage: Eukaryota; Metazoa; Arthropoda; Insecta; Hymenoptera; Vespidae.